Molecule: ribosomal RNA, 256 nt
Filed under: uncultured bacterium
Lineage: Bacteria
Description: partial 16S ribosomal RNA
Rfam family: Bacterial small subunit ribosomal RNA
Source: RNAcentral
CCACGCUGUAAACGCUGUCGAUUUGGGGGUUGGGGUUUAACUCUGGCGCCCGUAGCUAACGUGAUAAAUCGACCGCCUGGGGAGUACGGCCGCAAGGUUAAAACUCAAAUGAAUUGACGGGGGCCCGCACAAGCGGUGGAGCAUGUGGUUUAAUUCGAUGCAACGCGAAGAACCUUACCUACUCUUGACAUCCUAAGAAUUCUGUAGAGAUACGGAAGUGCCUUCGGGAACUUAGAGACAGGUGCUGCAUGGCUGU